This is a long non-coding RNA of Mytilus californianus (California mussel), 480 nucleotides long. RefSeq lists it as uncharacterized. The transcript is spliced from 3 exons. The record is from RefSeq and is a predicted model, not a curated record. Lineage: Eukaryota; Metazoa; Mollusca; Bivalvia; Mytilida; Mytilidae.
UGAAAAUGUUCCGUCGUUUGAGGUAUAGGCAAAUGCAGGCUUUUAUAUCGCAGAGGAGAUUGGCAGCGGGUUAAAAUGUGACAACUGUUAUUCUCUGUCGCGAUGCAGAGGAAACUGCUUUUGCGAUGAUCCACCAAUACUUGGAUACGCACCAUAAGAUACAUUUACACUGUUAUACAUGAUCCGUCAGCAUAAUGAAUAGGUUUUUAAGCUCGUUCAAGAAUUUGGAUACUGGCCUAACUAAUAUCAUCACUAAACAUGAUUUUAGCAGUGAUAUGUUGCAAGUGGAAGCAGCAGUACAUGUAGUAAACAAAAAAAUGACAUAUCAUUAGAAAAUGAUAUAAAAGAAGCGAGUGAGAUAUAUCUCAAUGAACCGAUGGAAGUAGAUUUUCUCGACUCUUUAUUAGAUGACCAAAAAAGGUUAUUUUAACAGAUGAAUACAGUGAAGGACAUGAACAGUAUAUUCAUCAUACAAAAGAA